UACGUAGGCAGCAAGCGUUGUUCGGAAUUACUGGGCGUAAAGAGUGCGUAGGCGGUGCUCUAAGUCUGUUGUGAAAUCUCCCGGCUUAACCGGGAGGGUGCGGCGGAAACUGGAGUGCUUGAGGGUGGGAGAGGUAAGCGGAAUUCCUGGUGUAGCGGUGAAAUGCGUAGAUAUCGUAAGGAAGACCAGUGGCGAAGGCGGGUCUCUGGACAGUUCCUGACACUG
This 225-nucleotide ribosomal RNA is filed under the name uncultured prokaryote. RNAcentral describes it as "partial 16S ribosomal RNA". It matches the Rfam family "Bacterial small subunit ribosomal RNA", at positions 524 to 748 of the family's 1533-position model. The record is from RNAcentral.